Molecule: ribosomal RNA, 497 nt
Filed under: uncultured bacterium
Lineage: Bacteria
Description: partial 16S ribosomal RNA
Rfam family: Bacterial small subunit ribosomal RNA
Source: RNAcentral
GAUGAACGCUGGCGGCGUGCCUAAUACAUGCAAGUCGAGCGAACAGACGAGGAGCUUGCUCCUCUGACGUUAGCGGCGGACGGGUGAGUAACACGUGGAUAACCUACCUAUAAGACUGGGAUAACUUCGGGAAACCGGAGCUAAUACCGGAUAACAUGUUGAACCGCAUGGUUCAACAGUGCAAGACGGUCUUGCUGUCACUUAUAGAUGGAUCCGCGCCGCAUUAGCUAGUUGGUAAGGUAACGGCUUACCAAGGCAACGAUGCGUAGCCGACCUGAGAGGGUGAUCAGCCACACUGGAACUGAGACACGGUCCAGACUCCUACGGGAGGCAGCAGUAGGGAAUCUUCCGCAAUGGGCGAAAGCCUGACGGAGCAACGCCGCGUGAGUGAAGAAGGUCUUCGGAUCGUAAAACUCUGUUAUUAGGGAAGAACAAAUGUGUAAGUAACUAUGCACGUCUUGACGGUACCUAAUCAGAAAGCCACGGCUAACUACGUG